Long non-coding RNA from Acanthochromis polyacanthus (spiny chromis), 817 nucleotides. RefSeq lists it as uncharacterized. The record is from RefSeq and is a predicted model, not a curated record. NCBI's taxonomy places the organism in Eukaryota, Metazoa, Chordata, Actinopteri, Pomacentridae. The transcript is spliced from 2 exons.
AUCACACUUUUAAACCAGAUUCUUUUAAAUCACGUUUUACUGUAUUCACUGUCAUCUGACCUGCAUGAAUGUUUUCAUUGUGAAUGUUUGUUGUCAUUAAAUCACCACGAUCUAAAGAAGAGAGAUUGCAGCAAAGACAAAGGCAACGAGAGCAGAAAAAACUACAGGAUGUGGCUGAAGUCCCCCUGAAAAUGUUUAGGCUUUCAGAAUCUGCCACUGAAGCAUCAGGUAUUGUUCCAGCCAGCAUUGUCUCACACAUAUCCAUCAAGGUUGUUGAGGUUCCAUGUCACAGAGCAGUCAUUAUUUCUCUGUGUACUUAAAAUCAACCACUUAAAUCUUGCAUUUUCAUUGUGCCUGUAUACACCACAAUCUGUUUCCUUUCUAGAUGAGGCUGAGAACAGGACUGGGAACAGGAAACGGGGUAUAUUGCCUGAGAUGGGUAGUCUCAUUUCAGUGUUUUCUGCAAUCUCCGAGCCUUUACUUAAAUAACUGUUUUCUUUAUUUUUGUUUAGGAGAAUCCUUUGGUCAGGGAUGCAAUGGCGGCAGCCCGGUGGUGUGGGACCAGAACUUUCAAGCGAAAAAUUUCCCUUCCCCAAGUUGUUACCAUGGCCAAGGAGCAACGCGUGAGGGCAGUGGAACUCCUGUGUGUCUGUGAUGGCCAGGAAGAAGAGGAGACCGCUGAUCUCAGAGAACCGUUCCUUUUUCUUUUUAGUCUGCAGGAAGACUAUGAGACAUUCUGUCAAGAAAUCAUUGACAGGAGAAACAUGAAGGUGUUUUGUGCUUUUGACAGAAAAGAAUAAAGUUGUGUUCAACGGUG